AUGGAGAAUCUGUAAAGCUCAGGAGGGAUAGCGCCGUAACCAAACAAAAAUAAGUAUAGGCCGGUGUCGUUUUUGUCACGGCUCGUUACCAUAAUAUCUUAAGGAUAUUGGCGCUAUCUAUCCUGAGUUUCACGGCUUCUUCUU
RNAcentral lists this microRNA precursor (144 nucleotides) under Morus notabilis. RNAcentral's name for it is "MIR390 microRNA precursor family". It matches the Rfam family "MIR390 microRNA precursor family". The record is from Rfam by way of RNAcentral. Lineage: Eukaryota; Viridiplantae; Streptophyta; Magnoliopsida; Rosales; Moraceae.